Molecule: long non-coding RNA, 1601 nt
Filed under: Phoenix dactylifera (date palm)
Lineage: Eukaryota; Viridiplantae; Streptophyta; Magnoliopsida; Arecales; Arecaceae
Description: long non-coding RNA (PDAC_LNC000509)
Source: RNAcentral
GUGCCCUAAAGAUCAUGCAAGGCCUAAGAUAAACAAAAAUCCAAUAAAUCCACAACUAAUUAAUUAAUUCAAAUAGACAAAUCCAGCAUAUCCAAAUAAUCAAUUUGGUUCAAAUACAAGAUUUUCAAAUACUCAUCGACAUCAAAGAAAGAUAAACUAACUAAUAAGCUAAUGACUUUGAUACUCGCGCUCUGCGCCCAACCCAUCCAUGUCUAUGCAUCCUGCAACUCUGAAAAUAGAAAAAAGAAGGGUGUGAGCUUUACAGCCCAAUAAGAACCCCUACACGUCCAUACCAAAACAAUAGUAAUAUGAAUUUGAAAAACCACGACAAAUCGAUGCACAUUUCAUGAAAUCAUAAACGGCUUCCAAAAGGCUCAAAUAAUCAAUAUAAGUAUGUACGUCAAACAUCAAUAAAAGUUCAACCAUACCGAAAUGAUAUAGCAUAUGAUAGCUCAUAAAUCUUCAUUACUAUUUUCAAUACUUUUUCUUUCCAUUCUAUAUUAACUUGAUUCCGAUCAAUUAUUUUUCCGACUUUGGGCUACAUCUCGGUCACGUUUUCGGCCCGUAACGGAGCAACCGAUAGUAUCAUAUUUCCAGCCUGUGAUGGGGCAAUCGAUAGUAUCACAUUUCCAGCCUGUGACGGGGCAAUCGAUAGUAUCACAUUUCCAGCCUGUGACGGGGCAAUCCAUAAUAACGAGNNNNNNNNNNNNNNNNNNNNCAUCUCGGUCACGUUUUCGGCCCGUAACGGAGCAACCGAUAGUAUCACAUUUCCAGUCUGUGAUGGGGCAAUCGAUAGUAUCACAUUUCCAGCCUGUGACGGGGCAAUCGAUAGUAUCACAUUUCCAGCCUAUGAUGGGGCAAUCCAUAAUAACGAGAUAAGCCCAAAGUCCCUAUUCAUUUAAUCAAUUCAUACAGACACAUCAAUUCCUUUUUUCAUUUUAUUUUCGACCUAGACUAACCACGGUCACAUUUUCGGCCCGUGACAAGGCAAUCAAUAUAACAUAGUUAGUCCAUCCCACCACAUCCAUAAAUCCAAUUAUGCAGGUAUAGGUUAUACGCAUACAUAUAUCCAUCAUAAUACCAAUCACAAGCCAAUAUGAUCAAAAUAUAAUUUAAUAUAAAACUAUUUUUGCUUUGUCUAGAUCAUAACAUAUCAUACAUAUGUGGUACAAAAGUAUUUAUAUCCUGCAGGUUGCCGUACAAGAAUUCUUACACUUUGUUGAAAACUCAGACAAACUAAUUAUCCGCCCUCACGGUGAUUUAUAAACCGGAAUGUGCAGGACCCCGCUUAUCGUCUUCUCGUCCAACAGAUUAUUCUCCUACAGAAUCAAGUCAUCCUUAAAAAUUAUCCACGAUAUAUGAAAAUCCAAAACUCUCUAUGAAUCCUCUUAAGGGUCCAUCAGCUAUUUAGCACCUCAGGACUAACUAACAGUCCAUGAUCUCCCUGUAUUAAACUAGAGAGAAAACAUAACAAUAAGAGAGAGCAACUAGAGAGGGAGAAGAACAAAGAAGAUGGUAGUGGGUGGUUCUCUCUCUCUCUUUCUCUCUCUCUCUCUCUUCCUUCCUUCCUCCCGAUUGGAGGGAAAACUUGACGGCGGCNN